This 252-nucleotide ribosomal RNA is filed under the name uncultured bacterium. Its description in RNAcentral is "partial 16S ribosomal RNA". It matches the Rfam family "Bacterial small subunit ribosomal RNA", at positions 30 to 289 of the family's 1533-position model. The record is from RNAcentral.
UUGAAUGCUGGCGGCAUGCCUUACACAUGCAAGUCGAACGGUAGAGGGGCAACCCUUGAGAGUGGCGAACGGGUGAGUAAUGCAUCGGAACGUGCCCAGUCGUGGGGGAUAACGCAGCGAAAGCUGUGCUAAUACCGCAUGUGAUCUGUGGAUGAAAGCAGGGGACCGCAAGGCCUUGUGCGAUUGGAGCGGCCGAUGUCAGAUUAGCUAGUUGGUAGGGUAAAAGCCUACCAAGGCGACGAUCUGUAGCUG